RNAcentral lists this small nuclear RNA (79 nucleotides) under Zalophus californianus (California sea lion). Its description in RNAcentral is "U4 spliceosomal RNA (ENSZCAG00015001273.1)". The stretch from base 1 to 66 matches the Rfam family "U4 spliceosomal RNA". From Rfam's summary of the family: U4 small nuclear RNA (U4 snRNA) is a component of the major U2-dependent spliceosome. The structure of U4 snRNA from yeast and human has been reported. U4 snRNA presents a k-turn RNA motif in the 5p-SL related to recognition of Snu13 protein. The record is from RNAcentral. Lineage: Eukaryota; Metazoa; Chordata; Mammalia; Carnivora; Otariidae.
AGCUUUGCGCAGUGGUGGUAUCGUAGCCAAUGAGGUUUAUCCGAGGCGCGAUUAUUGCUAACUGUAGCCCGCCUUCUCC